This is an RNA transcript of Toxorhynchites rutilus septentrionalis, 7068 nucleotides long. It is a transcript of the gene named putative leucine-rich repeat-containing protein DDB_G0290503, with no coding region annotated. The transcript is spliced from 14 exons. The record is from RefSeq and is a predicted model, not a curated record. Lineage: Eukaryota; Metazoa; Arthropoda; Insecta; Diptera; Culicidae.
UGGCCGUCGUCAGUCAAUCGUCGUCCAUCCACAAGGCAACAUUUAAUUUUAAUUUUAAGUAUCUUUAUACUAUAAUUUUAUACACAUUAUACAUAUGUGUAUUGCGCGAAUGAAACGAAGUUAAGUCAUAGUUAUUUUUAAUUGCAACACGUGAUUGCGGAAAUUGGAAAAAAAUUACGAAUUCGACUUUUAUGGAUAAAUGUUAAACGUAUCCUGUGCUGUGAAAAUAGUGAAGUUUGAAACGAGAGUGUUCACCGAAAGCCAAAUUCUCACAUGUUUAUUAAUUUUCAACAUUAUCUGUUCAACAACGAAACGAACCCUUUCCGACUGUAUGUUAUAAUUUACCCAUCGAUUUAAGUUAUACCCAACCGAAUUAUGUUACUGUAACGAAAUUUUGUUCCUACCGAGUGAGAAAAAAAUUAAGUGAAAAAAAUAAUUAUCUGAAGUGCGAAAUAACGAACCAAAUGAAAGAAGAUUUCCCUAAUGCGAAAUAUUGAUAGGGAGGGCGGGAAAAUAGCAAAUUUCUGAAGCCGCGCUGUGAUAAAAAUUGUGCCCUCGGCCGCCAUAAUCAACAGUUGUGUUUGUGUGUGGACAAAAAUAGAGUGCGAAAGUGGCAUCGUAUGAAUCGUGCCACUGAUCUCGCACGGGUAGUCUACUAAUCAUCAAGUGGCGCAACUUCAGCAUCCACAUACGUGUGCUGUCCACAGAGCGGCGUUGGAGCGGUGCGCUUAAUUCACGUACCGCCAAGAACACAACGAGCGUCGGCGUAUUCGGAAGCAAGUCGGAUCAUACGAGGACCAAUCGACAUUGGUCUGGAAGAAACACCCAUAGAUAAGAGAGCUGAUCGCGUUCCUGACUGAAUCCGGCGGAUCGCAUCUCCGUGGCGUGCACGACAUCAUCAGUUCGAGUUGGACCACAAAAUCAGCAUGAACUUGAUGACACACAAUCAUGAUAAAUGAUAAUCUGUUUGGCGAGAAGCGAAGGCAGUGAAAUUGAAGCAAUUAUCUAGGGUAAAGAAAACAAAAGUAAAAACACAUACCGCCGAAGCACAGGAACGUAGAGUAAGGCAGCAAGUAACAGAUAGACAAUUGAAUAAAGAAAAUUAAAAUUAAAUGUUUGAACCUGACCCAGAAGCAGCAAGCAGCAGCAAUGGCAGACAGUGAACAGCACCAUCAAGAUCAUCAUCAUCUUCGUCUGAACGCGAGCAAUGGAAUCUCCAGCAGUGCAUCUGGUUUACCGAAAUUGAAAGUGGAACGCAAAAACUCUAGUCGCGCCCGAAACGCAAAACAGAGCGAAAGUGACAGUGAAAAAGUGACUUUGUAUCUGAGCGGCCAGAAGGCAAAUGAGUAUCAAAGUAGGAUGGCUACCGGCGUAGACGCACACGAAGCUCCGGUGGUUGUGACCAUCCGAAAAAGUGCCAACAUAAUCAAAUGUGAUAGUGAUAAGGAAGUGAAUUCACUGAAAAGGAAAAAAGUGCCGCCUCCACAGCAGGCAAACGGGGUAGAACAAGAAACAACAUACGCCUCAGUGGUUAAAUCAUCGGAUAAAGAAAACACCCAACCGUCUUCGGUUGGCGCCAAUUCGGGAAUUUCUAGCAAUAAGCGCAUGAAAAUGGAUCCACUGGAUAGUGAUAGUAAAGUUGUGGCAAGUAAACCACCCAUUCCUCCGAAACCAGAUGCCCAUAAAUCAGCGCAACAAGGUGCGGUAAAAUCCAAGAAAAAUGUUGUAACCGAAGCACACAAUGCGUUGACCGUUCAGAAGCUGCUUGCCCAGAACGAACAGAUGCGGCUGGAAAUCAACGAGCUGCGAAAUAGUUUGGCCACGGAACGUAGUGCCGUGAGAGUUUUAAGAGCCCAGAACGACUCCGAUUUGCGGAAGUCCAAGACGGAAUGCAAAAAACUGCAAGAGGCUCUCUCACAUCAGAAGCGUAAUGCGACUGCUGCACCAGCGAACAUGCCGGCCGCUAAAAGGCCGCACCGAACCACCGUUGCUGAUGAGCAGCAGAGUGGCCAAAAUUCGUCGCAUCAGCUGAAUCUGGAAAUUCUCAAACUCAAUCAGGAGCUUUCCGCGUUACGUGAGACAAAUAAGUUCUUGGAGGAGAAGAUACAAGUUUCCUCGGAGGCUGAACGGCGGAAAGCUGCUGAUAUUCGAGUGCAAAGGGAUCUGUACGAACUACGAUUGACUCAACUCACCAAGUCUGCCAAAAGCGAGAUACAACGACUGCUGGAGGAGCUGAAAUCUAAAGAUCGAAACAACGGUCUUCUAAGGAAGGAGAUUUUAGCACUGCAAGGAGGAGGCGGAGGCGGAGGAGGAGCAGGUGAUACAACUGCCAAGAAGGAGAGAAAGGCUGCUAAAAAUUCCGCUCAGCAAUCGCAAGAGGUGAGCGAUGCGGGAUUGACAGAAAAGAAUUACAUAAGAUGGCAACAAGACAAUACGAUGCGAAAACUGCGUGAGUCCGAACCAUGUAGCGGAAACGUCAGCAAGAGUGCAAGCCACAGCAGCAUCCAGUCUGUCUGCGAAGAGCUGGAACAGAAUGAUGCUGCAGCUGAUCCGGUAGCAGUCCCGGGAAAAACAGAUCUAACGCACAACCACAGGUUCUCUCCUUUUGUGGAAACGAACGGUUCGACUGUUAACAGCAGCAACAGCAACACCAAUAACCCCACAACGAACGGUUAUAGCAGUAGUAAUAGCACCGUAAACUUAGAUUUAGAAACGACGACGUGUGGCGGCGAUGACAGCAAGUCACAGCCACACGAAUCACGAACAAUGGAAGCUCACAUAGAUUUGCAUGCUCCUGAUAGAUUAGACCCCCAGACGCAAACAAUAGCCAGUGAAGUCGAUCAGGCCAGCAACGGUACUGAACCGACAAGUUUUAUCAGAACGACUAUGGCCCCCAGGAGGCAGCUGUCGGCGGUUUCGGAUGCUGAUUCGGCCAUAUCGUCAGCGCCUUCAUCGUUGAGUCCACAGCCGACCUGCUGUCCCAAUUCGCCAGAAGUCCUGCGAGCACACGCCCACCAACAGCAACAACAACAUUUGCAAUCCCUGCGCGACGAAAGUCAACUGGUCGAGAUCAAAAUGGAGCUAGACCGGAUGCAGACCAAGUACGACCUACUGAGUGCGGACUACGGCAAAGCCAAAGAACAGAUCGACGAACUCGAGCGGGAGUUAAUGGAGGCGACGCAGGUGUCUCGCGAGAGAACGAAGCUGACUGAGCGUAUCGAGUAUUUGGAGCAGCGAGAGGAAGGUUUGCUGCGCGAGACUCAUGAACUGCGGGAACAGAAUGAACUGCUCGAAUUUCGAAUUAUUGAGCUCGAGGAAAGCCAUGAUAAGUGGUCCCUUCGUAGCAACGCCAGCCCAACGGUCGGUAGCAGUAACGGUAGCACCACGAAGGAUGUGUGGACCGACACGGACAAGGAGCACGAUGAUCUGAUCAUGCACUCGGAACGGUCCGACUCGGGGGUAACCUCUCCGAACAGCCAUCACCAUCUGGAGGACCACCGAACGAGUGGGGUCCCUUCGCCCUGCUGUGACCUCUCGCUGCUGGACCAAAUCCCGACGGACGACGUGCGGAAGCGCAUCGUCACCAUGACCAAACGGGUGUGCUACGAUGAGGAUGAUAAAAUGUGUCUGCUUCAGAUACUGUCUCUGCUGAACAAUUUGGAAGCACUCUCGCAGGAUCACGAAAUCGCUGUCGAGACGACCAGUGUAGAAACACCUGUUAAGUACAACAAUCCUUUCCCGGAGAACCAACCACCAAAAUUGCUCACGGUAAGCUCGACUCCGUUUAAGCAUGGCAAAAUAGUGGCCACAGUUCAGCCCUUCAACAAUAACAACAACUUAACGACCACCAUUUCAUCUGGUGGUAAUGACUCGAAGGGGCUCUCGAUUGCCUCGAUUGCCGAGACCUUCGGUGGUAUGAAGAAAUCCUCCUCCAAAUGGGCAUGUACUAGUCUGCAGGAGAGUGGCGUUUUCGUGGACGAGAUAAUGCUCAGCAGCGUGGCAACGCAAACGGAACUGGAAGAUUUCCCUUGUCUGGAACGAACCAAUGCGGAGCUUUGCGCGGAAAUUGAGAAGCUGAACAAAUUCAGACAAAAGAUCGAAGAAUGCUCCGGGAAAAGGAGUGGCAAAAAUCCCGUUGGGGUGAGUUUGUCGCUGCCGGCGGAAUCGUGCGAGCAGAAGAGGCUGCAGUACUACAUUGAUCGGCUGGAGCAGCUGGAGAAUAAAAUCAAGGUGUACGAGAGUAGUGGUGAUCAACAGAUCCGACAUUUGGCGAACCGGUUACAGCGGGAGGUGCAGCUCGAAGGGUGGGUGAAGCAGCUGGGUGAGCGAAUAAAUAAAUUGGAGGACGAGAACGAGCGGCUGGAGGAGGAACGAUGCGAGUUGGAGGAAAUCGAAAACGACACGAGACUGAAACUGCAGCGGAUGGAGAUUGACUACGAAGUGAUGGGUCAGCGCAACGCGGAAUUGGAAAUGACGAAGAGUUCGUACCAAUCGAAAUACCAGGAUGCGAAGGAGAAUGUGGUGAAUUUGGAGGAACUGGUGCACAAAUGUGAAGAGAGAAUUUUUGUCCUCGAGGAAACCGAAAACGAGUUGAAUGAUCGUAUCGAUCUGAUAUUGGCGUUUAUUCCGGUGCUGUUGAUGUUCAACACGUGGCAACUGCACGAACAGAUGACGGCGGUGCGAAAGCAUAUUGCCAUAAAUUAUAUACCGCCGGAGCACAUCGAGUACUACGAGUCCACUAAUGACGACCUCCAAUCGAGACUGAAUGAGCUGAUGAAUCGUGAGAAGGAGCUCACGCAAAAUAUUGCCGACCUCAAUCGUGCCUACAAUGAGACGUUGGAAAAUGCGGACAAUUUGUGGGCCCAGAUGGAGAAAGAGUACAAAGACAAAAUAUCCAAGUGUGAGGCGAUUGAAGCUAACCUCAAAUCGAAGAUCGCUCAACUGGAGGAACGGCUCAUAAAAGACAGUGAUUACGCCCACGAGCGGAUUUCCCAUUUGGAGGAGGCAGAGAACAGUCUCAAGAGCCGAGUAUCCAAAUUGAACAAAGAAAACAGAGAAUUAAUCGCCAAACACGCUGAGCUUUUGGAGGAGUACACCACGUUGAAGGAGGAAUAUCUGAAGCUACAGGAGUAUCUUCGAGGGCCGGCAGCGGAAAAUCUUGAGAGGGAGAAACGCAAAAUACUUACACUGGAAGAGGAGCUCAAUCACUCCACACAACUCCUCAGAGAAGCCGAACUGACCCUUAAAUCGGAAGUUGGCCAAAUCCGGGGAAAACUGAUGAGCGCGACCAAAGAGUUGAAUCAUAUCGAGGUGACAAACAGCGAGCUCCGAGAGGAAGUUGAGACUCUUGAAAAUCGAGUCCGAGAGCUGCUGGCAUUACGCAAUGGCGACGAGGAGCGGAUUAGACAUCUGACGGAGGAACUGCAGACCAAGCUGGCCCAAAUUAGCCAGUUGCAACAGCACAAGUCCAGCAGCACAAGAACAGCGUGUCAUGGCCGAAGUCUAGCGCAGGAAUUGGAGCGUCCCGUCAAAGGGUCGUACUCGAAGCUAGGCUAUGAGAUUCAUCCACUGAGCCGAAAAUUCGACAGUGACAGCAGUGGAAGUGAGGCGAAAUUCCCCGUCGCGGAAGUGAGGGAAGUAAAAAGCUUGGCUGAGACAAUUAUUCUGAACGCCGAAAGUCGAGGCGUGCGAGCACCAAAGAAGUCUUUCGUCGAGGAGGCGCGAAGCCGUUUUGCCCGCUGGGUGUAAAACUCCAACUCCAAGCCCUGAAAUACUAACUGUAAAUUGACAUUUUGGGCAACAUCACCGUAAAAGGCGUUGCCACCGAGCACAUUUUGCUUUCUGGUUGGACUUGUGAUGCCAACAGCAAGAACUGAAAGUGUGUCAGAGGGUUUUGGAUGUCAAGCUCUGGGUGGGAUGUGUGAGGAUUGUGAUAAUCUGAAGUGCCACACUUUGCGUUGGAGAACUCAAAGGAACUCGUAAGUUACGUCGUCACAAAAUACGUCUCUUCAUCAAAGAAAUCGUCGGUGAAUAAAAUCAAAGUCGAUGCAAAAAAAAUAAUACGCACAUGCAUCAAGCAACACACCUAGGACUCAUCGUAGCAGUCGCUCUCCUGAGAAAGGAAAUGAAUCUAGUCGUUCACUUUUUUUGUUUGUUUUUUUUUUCUUUUGUAUCAAAAUAGAUAUACGAAGGUUUACUUUUAGUUUAGGAGACACCUCACUGUAUAGAUGACACUGGAAAAAUAUUGUUGAAGACUUAUUUAAGAGCAAAUCACGAUCAUAAUUAGCAGACCCCUUGCAGCGAAACGAGCUUCUAUUUUGAAUAUGUUUUGGGUUAGUGACGGUGAAAAAAUUAAUUUCUUUUUGGAAAUUAUUUUCUUCAUUUUCGUUUGCACUAGAAGUUUCAUUUCUACUCGUUUUUGCUACAGCCGCACACCUAGUUUUCAUCAUUAUUUUCCUGUAAUAAUUAUGUUAAGCUUGCACUUUGGUACGAAGUUUUGUUUUGUUGUUUUUUUUUUGUAAAUACGUUAAGUUAACAUUAUUAUUACGAUAGUUUUUAUUUGGUAGUACAAUUUUUAUACUUAGCGCAAUGCCUUACUCCGAAAGAAACAAGACACAACGCUUGGAGAGGUAGUGCUGUGAAUUCAUGAAUUUCUUUCGUUGAUUUUCUUUUUCUCUGUUCCCGUAGAUUUCGAUCUUUUCCGAAAACCGUUAACCUUUGCAACAUUUUUUCUUUAAUUCUGUGUGUAUUGUUUACGAAUGUUCAUUUGGAACGGUCCAUUCGUUCGUUUUGGAACAUAUUUGUAGUUUAUUCCUUUUUUCAGUUUAUAUUUUUUUCGCUAAGAAUCACUAUAAUCUGAUACAAGUGCGCCACUUGGUGACCACUUUACCCACUGUGCAUGGUAGAUUGCAUGCCAAAACUAUAUCCGACAAGCAACCAGUUUAGAAAAUGUGAGCUUCCACAUUAUUAUGUAUCCCAUUGUGAAACACAAAAUGCCCAUUGUAGGCAAUGAUAUCCAUUUGGAGCAUAUACUUGUGAAAGAAAACAAUAUAUUGCAUGUUUAUAGUA